GCGGGAUGGAGCAGCUCGGUAGCUCGUCGGGCUCAUAACCCGAAGGUCGUAGGUUCAAAUCCUGCUCNAGGUUUGGCACCUCGAUGUCGGC
This 91-nucleotide transfer RNA is filed under the name Streptococcus pneumoniae. Its description in RNAcentral is "tRNA-Met(cat)". The stretch from base 5 to 67 matches the Rfam family "tRNA", at positions 6 to 65 of the family's 71-position model. Rfam says of the family: Transfer RNA (tRNA) molecules are approximately 80 nucleotides in length. Their secondary structure includes four short double-helical elements and three loops (D, anti-codon, and T loops). Further hydrogen bonds mediate the characteristic L-shaped molecular structure. tRNAs have two regions of fundamental functional importance: the anti-codon, which is responsible for specific mRNA codon recognition, and the 3' end, to which the tRNAs corresponding amino acid is attached (by aminoacyl-tRNA synthetases). tRNAs cope with the degeneracy of the genetic code in two manners: having more than one tRNA (with a specific anti-codon) for a particular amino acid; and 'wobble' base-pairing, i.e. permitting non-standard base-pairing at the 3rd anti-codon position. The record is from RNAcentral. Lineage: Bacteria; Bacillati; Bacillota; Bacilli; Lactobacillales; Streptococcaceae.